AUGAUUCUCGUGCACUUCUCGCCAUGUAUACAUUCCAGGAGUGGGUGAGUGAACCCAAACCUGUACAGAUCGCCAUCAAUCAAUGUGUACUUGCUAGAAUUUUUCUUUACCUUCCUAGCCUCUGCCGGAUCCAGCGGGAGAAGGCCAUCUGCCAGGCACCGCUUGUACUGUGUUAUCCAGGUGUCUGGCUCAUGGGUAGCGCAGACCUG
Molecule: long non-coding RNA, 209 nt
Filed under: Phaseolus vulgaris (common bean)
Lineage: Eukaryota; Viridiplantae; Streptophyta; Magnoliopsida; Fabales; Fabaceae
Description: long non-coding RNA (PVUL_LNC003450)
Source: RNAcentral